UGCAAGUCGAGCGAACAGACGAGGAGCUUGCUCCUCUGACGUUAGCGGCGGACGGGUGAGUAACACGUGGAUAACCUACCUAUAAGACUGGGAUAACUUCGGGAAACCGGAGCUAAUACCGGAUAAUAUAUUGAACCGCAUGGUUCAAUAGUGAAAGACGGUUUUGCUGUCACUUAUAGAUGGAUCCGCGCCGCAUUAGCUAGUUGGUAAGGUAACGGCUUACCAAGGCAACGAUGCGUAGCCGACCUGAGAGGGUGAUCGGCCACACUGGAACUGAGACACGGUCCAGACUCCUACGGGAGGCAGCAGUAGGGAAUCUUCCGCAAUGGGCGAAAGCCUGACGGAGCAACGCCGCGUGAGUGAUGAAGGUCUUCGGAUCGUAAAACUCUGUUAUUAGGGAAGAACAAAUGUGUAAGUAACUAUGCACGUCUUGACGGUACCUAAUCAGAAAGCCACGGCUAACUACGUGCCAGCAGCCGCGGUAAUACGUAGGUGGCAAGCGUUAUCCGGAAUUAUUGGGCGUAAAGCGCGCGUAGGCGGUUUUUUAAGUCUGAUGUGAAAGCCCACGGCUCAACCGUGGAGGGUCAUUGGAAACUGGAAAACUUGAGUGCAGAAGAGGAAAGUGGAAUUCCAUGUGUAGCGGUGAAAUGCGCAGAGAUAUGGAGGAACACCAGUGGCGAAGGCGACUUUCUGGUCUGUAACUGACGCUGAUGUGCGAAAGCGUGGGGAUCAAACAGGAUUAGAUACCCUGGUAGUCCACGCCGUAAACGAUGAGUGCUAAGUGUUAGGGGGUUUCCGCCCCUUAGUGCUGCAGCUAACGCAUUAAGCACUCCGCCUGGGGAGUACGACCGCAAGGUUGAAACUCAAAGGAAUUGACGGGGACCCGCACAAGCGGUGGAGCAUGUGGUUUAAUUCGAAGCAACGCGAAGAACCUUACCAAAUCUUGACAUCCUCUGACCCCUCUAGAGAUAGAGUUUUCCCCUUCGGGGGACAGAGUGACAGGUGGUGCAUGGUUGUCGUCAGCUCGUGUCGUGARAUGUUGGGUUAAGUCCCGCAACGAGCGCAACCUUAAGCUUAGUUGCCAUCAUUAAGUUGGGCACUCUAAGUUGACUGCCGUGACAACCGGAGGAAGG
This 1133-nucleotide ribosomal RNA is filed under the name Staphylococcus sp. RNAcentral's name for it is "bacterial SSU rRNA". The record is from RNAcentral. Lineage: Bacteria; Bacillati; Bacillota; Bacilli; Caryophanales; Staphylococcaceae.